Saccostrea cuccullata (small rock oyster) is the source of this 776-nucleotide long non-coding RNA. RefSeq lists it as uncharacterized. Lineage: Eukaryota; Metazoa; Mollusca; Bivalvia; Ostreida; Ostreidae. The record is from RefSeq and is a predicted model, not a curated record. The transcript has 4 exons.
CUGCUACUACGAUUCACAACGCUGCUACUACGAUUUUGGCAGCGACUUUUAUACCUGUUGCAUCAUCUGUAAGGGCCCUGUGCAAAAAAUACGAUAGACCUACGUUUUUUUUUAUGCUGACUACACAGGUAAAUACUUGGCAGCGAUUCAAGUUUGUUUAGGGCCUUGUGCAAAAAAUAUGCUUACCUAUGCAUUGUGACGUCAUAAACUUGGCAGCGACGUCAUGUUAGUCCUUCACAAGCCGCGAUGGCUGCUUAUUUUGAUACAAUAACACAGACUUUCACAGCGCUUGAGAAUUCAUGUAAUAACAGUAUGGUCCUAUGGGUUUCAGUACCAAAACUGAUUUUCUACCGUUUUUCUUCCAAGAAAGUUCUGAACAGCUGAAUCCUGGAUCAGCCUAGAUGUUAUUUCACUGGAUUAUUUAAUGAAUAAUACUCUACUGAGUUACCUGGUUACAUGGAUCAGCUAAGAUGUUGUUUCACUGGAUUAUUUAAUUGGGCAUAUAAUUGGAUAAUUCUGUCCUCAACCUGGAAGAUAUGUUUUAUUCCUAACCAUCUAUAAUCCAUUCUCUAUGAAGUUCAGCCUGUCUGCCCAAAUUCCUUUGGAAAUACAUAGUUAGUCAACCAACAUAGAAACAAUCAAACUUGAAGUCCUCAACCUGGAAGAUAUGUUUUAUUCCUAACCAUCUAUAAUCCAUUCUCUAUGAAGUUCAGCCUGUCUGCCCAAAUUCCUUUGGAAAUACAUAGUUAGUCAACCAACAUAGAAACAAUCAAACU